GGACAGAUACUGACANUCAGAUGCGAAAGCGUGGGGAGCAANCAGGAUUAGAUACCCUGGUAGUCCACGCCGUAAACGAUGUCUACUUGGAGGUUGUGGCCUUGAGCCGUGGCUUUCGGAGCUAACGCGUUAAGUAGACCGCCUGGGGAGUACGGUCGCAAGAUUAAAACUCAAAUGAAUUGACGGGGGCCCGCACAAGCGGUGGAGCAUGUGGUUUAAUUCGAUGCAACGCGAAGAACCUUACCUACUCUUGACAUCCAGAGAAGCCAGCGGAGACGCAGGUGUGCCUUCGGGAGCUCUGAGACAGGUGCUGCAUGGCUGUCGUCAGCUCGUGUUGUGAAAUGUUGGGUUAAGUCCCGCAACGAGCGCAACCCUUAUCCUUGUUUGCCAGCGAGUAAUGUCGGGAACUCCAGGGAGACUGCCGGUGAUAAACCGGAGGAAGGUGGGGACGACGUCAAGUCAUCAUGGCCCUUACGAGUAGGGCUACACACGUGCUACAAUGGCGCAUACAGAGGGCGGCGAACUUGCGAGAGUGAGCAAAUCCCAAAAAGUGCGUCGUAGUCCGGAUUGGAGUCUGCAACUCGACUCCAUGAAGUCGGAAUCGCUAGUAAUCGUAGAUCAGAAUGCUACGGUGAAUACGUUCCCGGGCCUUGUACACACCGCCCGUCACACCAUGGGAGUGGGCUGCAAAAGAAGUGGGUAGUUUAACCUUCGGGAGGACGCUCACCACUUUGUGGUUCAUGACUGGGGUGAAGUCGUAACAAGGUAGCC
Molecule: ribosomal RNA, 771 nt
Filed under: uncultured marine microorganism
Description: bacterial SSU rRNA
Rfam family: Bacterial small subunit ribosomal RNA
Source: RNAcentral